AAGGCACCGUAGCAUUUAAGCUCCGCAAUAACCCGCUACAGGUAAGCUGUGCUCCUGCUGCUUCAUUGUUUCGGCUUUGUCAUUGUUGCUGCCGUUAACCUGACGCUGUCUGAUACAGCCUCUGUUGCCGCUUGGGUGGUGUCUACUGGUGGAAGGACCACGCCGAGUUUUAUUUGUUUUUAGGUGACCUCUCUGGAGCAAAAUCUGUUGUCUGGGUUUGGGUGUCCUCUCUGACCUAAUUUCAAGACUGCAAGUGAUGGGGUGAUCGAGAGGAGCUUAAGGAACCACACUGCAACUUCAGUACAUUUCCAGGAAAACGUCAUCUGCGGGUGCAAUUUGUCCUGCCGAAUUUGAGGUCACAUUCAUUGUCGUUUUUGUGACAAGACUGUAAUCCACUGCUGUACCCAGAUGUGGAGUCUCUGGAGUGGCUGCAGUGCCAAAGGUGCAAGGGCUGGCUGAACGAACUACGAAAAAAAUGAGCCAUUCAGCUGUGGAUGCGCAGAUUCCAUGACAGGACAAGGCACAACACCAUUUUCUUGUUAAUGUCUUUGGUGUCACACAAGAAUAACAGAAGGAAAAAGCAGCAAAAGAUCAACAUUUUGCUAGCGUACUGCACAAAUCUGAAUGAAUGUUGAUUUAAACAUAGUAAAAUGCCAGCUUGGGAGCAUUACUAAUCCUAAAUCCUUGUCAUCUUUACAAUAAAAAAGUAUCUUUAAGUUGUCUAAAACCAUGUCUUUUUAAGACAGGCAUUAAACAUAAAAUAAUUUGGAGGUAUUGUAAAUCUGAUAUGAGCAUUAGUCAAUUUUUAAAAACACGAAAACCAGUACUAUAAAAUUACAUUUAAAAAAAUGAUUGGUCAUGUAAUUUAUAAAGUCACUACAGUCAUGUAAUCUUUCAUUUUUGUACGUGCUGCUUGAAAUUCUUUUUUUUAUGUAUAUCUAUAUUUAUCAUCAUUGUCUGCAGAAUUGUGGAUACAGUUGAGAGAGGAGGGGUUCUGGCCGUGUUUUCCCAGAAUCAGAUAAAGACACUGUAUAAUGAUCUGAUGAAUGGAAAAACUCAUUGAAACAGACUGUGUCUGUGGCAGAAUCCAUCUACCUCUCUCCAGCUAAAACAGCACCUAAAGCUAAGGGCGCUGAAUUUAAGUGACCAGCGGAUCUUUGAGUUUCUGAGGGUGAUAGAGGAGGUCACAGGUCUAGGAGCUAGGAUAAGGAAAGGGGAGAUCAAGCUUCUAGACUUCGUGUUUGAUGUCAUGCUCCCAGAGAUCCUGAGAAGCAUCCUGGACGAGGAAGGAUUGACCCAGCUACAAACUGGGUUCAUAAUGGCCAGUGGCAGACUUCUUUAGGUGUAAACCUCCAUUUUGUUUAUUCAUUGUUAAUUUCUGACUCCUAAAUUUGGAAUAUUCAGUUUUAUUUGCUCAUCAUUUUUGUUCAAUCUUUUGCCU
This is a long non-coding RNA of Melanotaenia boesemani (Boeseman's rainbowfish), 1441 nucleotides long. RefSeq lists it as uncharacterized. The transcript is spliced from 8 exons. NCBI's taxonomy places the organism in Eukaryota, Metazoa, Chordata, Actinopteri, Atheriniformes, Melanotaeniidae. The record is from RefSeq and is a predicted model, not a curated record.